AAGCUAUCAGGGUACCUCAGCAGGGGUGUGUGCACAGGAUCAGGGCCAGAAAAUCAUGAAAGUGUAUAAUAAUUUAUAAUGACUACACACUGGAAGGGUUUUAACUGGGAAAGCGUCAUUAGUGUGACAAGAUGGCCUCACUUACGUCCACUUGCAGUGCUUCCACCAGCAGCACAGGAGACGUUCCUCUUCAGGCGUUUUUGUCAACCUUGGACACUAACAGUUUUGUGAUUUCGGGCUUUCUGGUGGGGUGCAGAGGCGUCUGUGUGGUGGGCAUUUGCUCUGUGGUGAGGGACGCCUGCACCCCGUCAGAGUCCCCUGCCACCUGCAGCUCUUCUUCGGAGCCUCUGUCCAAUGUCGUGACUGUGUGCCGUGGGGUGUCUCCUUCUCACCGGUUUGCAGGAGCUCAUCGUACAUUCUGGAGGCGAUUCUUUCGCCAGUUACAGUCCAUUCUCGCUAUUCGCGGUUGCUCUGCUCUAAAAAGUCACCGCGAAGAUGGAAUUACUGAGUGAGGGAUCGCGAAGCCCUGCUCCUGGGGAAAUCAGCGCCAGCUUCCGCGAGGUGCGGCCGCAGGUUUCCUCAGUGGGUCGGCAGAGCCUCGUUCCGCGUGUGCUUCUGCUGAAAGACACCGCACUGCACGCACGUGGCUGAUGCGUGAACGCCGAGCCCGCGGCAGACUGCCCUCGGCCUGCAGGAGCCCACGUGACGCGGGAUCUUCUCCGUCAGGCUCGUCCGGCCUCCUGCGCUUAGAACACCAGGCGGAACUCCAGCUCCAGGCCUCGGGCCGUCUUCACCAACAAAAAGCACAAAGGUGUGGAAAACGUGGCACUAAACAGGCGGGAAAGGACACUUGUUGACACGUGAGCUGAAACCAGAAGGCAGAGCGUCGUCCCAUCCACCUCAGCUGGGAGCGUGCAGGUCCCCAAAAGACCACGGAAGCACUGUGAGCGUGGAUUGUGGGGCCACAGACAAACCCCAGGGAGGGGGUGAAUUUGCAAUUAUGGGGGAUCCACUGUGUCUGCACCACAGAGCACACAGCCUCCUCCACAGCAGGCGGCCCUGCCACCCUUUCCAUGCUGGCUUUCGGCGAACAGGCCUUCUUAGUUUCCACCUUUUCCAGUGAUCUGCCUUGUCCUUUCUGGCAAGGACUUGGGGUGCUGUCCAGGCACCUGCCUGGGCGGAGGCGGUGAGGAUGCUGGAGUUGCUGGCUUUCACAUUUACAUCUCCCAGCCAGCAGGCCUGCUCCGGCAGGCGGUGUGAGGUGGGGUCCAGCUGUGGUCUAGUGACCCGGCACACUGACCAGGGAGAAAAGAGAAAGAUCAUUUGGCCCCUCCGGCAAAGCUGAGAGGAAAAAAACCCUGACGGCUGUUUUACGACCCUGCUUGCCAACUCGUGACCAGCUGUGUCACACACAUCGAUAGGACUGCUGCCGAAGUUUGAGAGACUUUCUCUGCUUCUUUCAUCUGAAAGCAGGGAAGUUCUGGGCAGCGCACGUUCCCUGCGCUGUGACUGGUCUGGAACGUGGCUGCUGAUCUGAUGAGCCUUCCCCAUGAUGUCCUCGUCACCUUGGCUGUCGGGACUCUGCGUGACCUCGUCAACGUCAGCAUUUCCUGUGAAGUCAGCGGGUGCUCAGUGCCUUUCUCAGGGUCCAGUGACUCACUCCUCCUGGUUUGUUGCCACCGGAGCUCCUGGAAGCUGUUCUCUACUCCAGGAUGUCCGGCAUCAACUUCAUUAUGCAGGGAAGUGACGGGGACGACAUAAAUACACUCCACUGAACCCCAGCUGACAUUUCCACAACUCAACUUCCCCCGGGCCAGAUCCCAAAAGUGCCCCCACCUCUCCAGCAAGAGGGGAAGCACGACUGGGAGCCCGAGACAGCGUGGGAACUGCUGUGGUCACAGCACCUCAGUUUAUCAGGUUUUACAAAACUCUAUGACCCUACAGACCCUGCCAUGUGUGCCGUGCUGUGUCCCUGGGGGGCCUUUGUCCAUCUGUGCCCACUGCCACGCUGUCCCCGCUGCUCUGGCCAUAUGGUUCCAAUCUAGGAGAGCCGAGGCCCCCACAUGUGUCCUAGGUGCAGGCAGGACCUUUCCCUCCAGUGGCCGACUGCCGGCCUUUUCCAGCUUCUGGAGCCGCCAUCCCUGCAUCCCUGUGCUUGCG
Molecule: long non-coding RNA, 2160 nt
Organism: Equus caballus (horse)
Lineage: Eukaryota; Metazoa; Chordata; Mammalia; Perissodactyla; Equidae
Source: Ensembl